RNAcentral lists this ribosomal RNA (429 nucleotides) under Pseudomonadota bacterium. RNAcentral describes it as "Proteobacteria bacterium partial 16S ribosomal RNA". It matches the Rfam family "Bacterial small subunit ribosomal RNA", at positions 355 to 776 of the family's 1533-position model. The record is from RNAcentral. Lineage: Bacteria; Pseudomonadati; Pseudomonadota.
UGGGGAAUAUUGGACAAUGGGCGAAAGCCUGAUCCAGCCAUGCCGCGUGUGUGAAGAAGGUCUUCGGAUUGUAAAGCACUUUAAGUUGGGAGGAAGGGCAGUAAGCGAAUACCUUGCUGUUUUGACGUUACCGACAGAAUAAGCACCGGCUAACUCUGUGCCAGCAGCCGCGGUAAUACAGAGGGUGCAAGCGUUAAUCGGAAUUACUGGGCGUAAAGCGCGCGUAGGUGGUUCGUUAAGUUGAAUGUGAAAGCCCCGGGCUCAACCUGGGAACAGCAUCCAAGACUGGCGAGCUAGAGUAGGGCAGAGGGUGGUGGAAAUUCCUGUGUGGCGGUGAAAUGCGAAGAUAUAGGAAGGAACACCAGUGGCGAAGGCGACCACCUGGGCUCAUACUGACACUAAGGUGCGAAGGCGUGGAGAGCAAACAGG